Molecule: ribosomal RNA, 507 nt
Filed under: Triticum aestivum (bread wheat)
Lineage: Eukaryota; Viridiplantae; Streptophyta; Magnoliopsida; Poales; Poaceae
Description: partial small subunit ribosomal RNA
Source: RNAcentral
AUGUGGUUUGGGGACACAUUUUAUGUGUCGGUUGAAGAAUCAGUCGCAAUGUUUCUGCUAGUGCUAAGCCAUGGGAUAAAAUACCGGUUAAUUGAAAGCACGUACAGAUGGGCACUUGAGACCAUCAGUAGGCAUUUAAAUGAGAUCUUAAGAGUUGUCCUUUCCUUGUCUCAUGAGUUUAUAAAGCUACCAACCCCUUCAGCUGAGCAACCCGGGGAUAGUAGAUGGAAAUGGUUUCCAGAUGGGCUAGGAGCUUUAGAUGGCACACAUGUUGAUGUUCGUGUUUCUGCUCUCAAGCAAGGCAGAUACAGGAAUAGAAAGCAAGAUGUGACCACUAAUGUGCUUGGUGUUUGUGACCGGAAUAUGAAGUUUUUGUAUGUCUUAGCUGGAUGGGAAGGUUCUGCAUCUGAUUCACGAGUGUUGCGAGAUGCAAUGUCACGACAAGACGCUUUUAGAGUUCCACAUGGUAAUCCUCUAUCUUGGUACGGUAGAACAACUAAGUUAUGA